This 301-nucleotide ribosomal RNA is filed under the name uncultured bacterium. RNAcentral describes it as "partial 16S ribosomal RNA". It matches the Rfam family "Bacterial small subunit ribosomal RNA", at positions 509 to 807 of the family's 1533-position model. The record is from RNAcentral.
CAGCAGCCGCGGUAAUACGUAGGGUGCGAGCGUUAAUCGGAAUUACUGGGCGUAAAGCGUGCGUAGGCGGUUCGUUAAGUCUGUUGUGAAAGCCCCGGGCUCAACCUGGGAAUGGCAAUGGAUACUGGCGAGCUAGAGUGUGUCAGAGGAUGGUGGAAUUCCCGGUGUAGCGGUGAAAUGCGUAGAGAUCGGGAGGAACAUCAGUGGCGAAGGCGGCCAUCUGGGACAACACUGACGCUGAGGCACGAAAGCGUGGGGAGCGAACAGGAUUAGAUACCCCCGUAGUCCCUGUCUCUUAUAC